Molecule: long non-coding RNA, 351 nt
Filed under: Brassica napus (rape)
Lineage: Eukaryota; Viridiplantae; Streptophyta; Magnoliopsida; Brassicales; Brassicaceae
Description: long non-coding RNA (BNAP_LNC016911)
Source: RNAcentral
UGUCCUCAACUGAACUUUCAAGAAUUCAUAGGGAUGAGAGGUUUAAAGGUGGGAGCUCAUAGCCAAACACUUCUUGUUAUACUCUAGCUUCUCUAGGCCUAUCAAUACUCUUAUGCCUUUACACAGGUCGCAAUGCUCAUCAAGCAACAAAUACCUUCACCCAACUCUCACAUUUAUUCACACGCACACACACAAGGUGAAUUCUUACAAAUGGGCACAUGAUCUCAAUCAUUUGGCUUGGUGAGUGAAAUUGGUCUAAUGUGAAGCAAAGGGUUUUCAAAUGCAUAUUUUGUGGUGACUCACACUCAAAAAUAGGAGCAAGAACAUUAUGCAAAAUUUAUCUAAGAAAAN